GACGAACGCUGGCGGCGUGCCUAAUACAUGCAAGUAGAACGCUGAAGGAGGGGCUUGCUUCUCUGGAUGAGUUGCGAACGGGUGAGUAACGCGUAGGUAACCUGCCUGGUAGCGGGGGAUAACUAUUGGAAACGAUAGCUAAUACCGCAUAAGAGUAGAUGUUGCAUGACAUUUGCUUAAAAGGUGCAAUUGCAUCACUACCAGAUGGACCUGCGUUGUAUUAGCUAGUUGGUGAGGUAACGGCUCACCAAGGCGACGAUACAUAGCCGACCUGAGAGGGUGAUCGGCCACACUGGGACUGAGACACGGCCCAGACUCCUACGGGAGGCAGCAGUAGGGAAUCUUCGGCAAUGGACGGAAGUCUGACCGAGCAACGCCGCGUGAGUGAAGAAGGUUUUCGGAUCGUAAAGCUCUGUUGUAAGAGAAGAACGAGUGUGAGAGUGGAAAGUUCACACUGUGACGGUAUCUUACCAGAAAGGGACGGCUAACUACGUG
RNAcentral lists this ribosomal RNA (495 nucleotides) under uncultured bacterium. RNAcentral's name for it is "partial 16S ribosomal RNA". It matches the Rfam family "Bacterial small subunit ribosomal RNA", at positions 28 to 507 of the family's 1533-position model. The record is from RNAcentral.